RNAcentral lists this ribosomal RNA (166 nucleotides) under uncultured bacterium. RNAcentral describes it as "partial 16S ribosomal RNA". It matches the Rfam family "Bacterial small subunit ribosomal RNA", at positions 338 to 521 of the family's 1533-position model. The record is from RNAcentral.
CCUACGGGAGGCAGCAGUGGGGAAUUUUGCGCAAUGGGCGAAAGCCUGAUGCAGUAACGCCGCGUGGAGGAUGAAGGCUCUCGGGUUGUAAACUCCUGCCUGGGGGAAAGAUGAUGACGGUACCCCCAAAGAAAGCCCCGGCUAAUUCCGUGCCAGCAGCCGCGGU